AUGCGUAGGUGACGUGCCCUGCGGUCGGGGAUAGCUUAGGGAAACUUAAGGUAAUACCCGAUGACACCAUGAGGUUUGAAUACCAUAUGGUCAAAGGUGUGAUUCCACCACAGGAGCGGCUUGCGUGGUAUUAGCUAGUUGGUGAGGUAACGGCUCACCAAGGCAACGAUGCCUAGGGGAUGUUAGCGCAUGAUCCCCACCACUGGGACUGAGAUACUGCCCAGACACCUACGGGUGGCUGCAGUCGAGAAUCUUCGGCAAUGGGGGAAACCCUGACCGAGCGACGCCGCGUGUGGGAUGAAGGGCCCUUGGGUUGUAAACCACUGUCAGAGGGGAUGAAGUGCUAGAAAGCUAUCUUUCUAGUUUGACAUAGCCUCAGAGGAAGCACGGGCUAAGUUCGUGCCAGCAGCCGCGGUAAGACGAACUGUGCAAACGUUAUUCGGAAUCACUGGGCUUGAAGAGUGCGUAGGCGGUUUCGUAAGUAGGGUGUGAAAGCCCUCGGCUCAACCGGGGAAUUGCGUCCUAAAC
This 528-nucleotide ribosomal RNA is filed under the name uncultured bacterium. RNAcentral describes it as "bacterial SSU rRNA". It matches the Rfam family "Bacterial small subunit ribosomal RNA", at positions 113 to 633 of the family's 1533-position model. The record is from RNAcentral.